Molecule: ribosomal RNA, 356 nt
Filed under: Pseudomonas sp. 01WB04.4-15
Lineage: Bacteria; Pseudomonadati; Pseudomonadota; Gammaproteobacteria; Pseudomonadales; Pseudomonadaceae
Description: bacterial SSU rRNA
Rfam family: Bacterial small subunit ribosomal RNA
Source: RNAcentral
UUUGAUCCUGGCUCAGAUUGAACGCUGGCGGCAGGCCUAACACAUGCAAGUCGAGCGGAUGACAGGAGCUUGCUCCUGAAUUCAGCGGCGGACGGGUGAGUAAUGCCUAGGAAUCUGCCUGGUAGUGGGGGACAACGUUUCGAAAGGCACGCUAAUACCGCAUACGUCCUACGGGAGAAAGCAGGGGACCUUCUGGUCCUUGCGCUAUCAGAUGAGCCUAGGUCGGAUUAGCUAGUUGGUGAGGUAAUGGCUCACCAAGGCGACGAUCCGUAACUGGUCUGAGAGGAUGAUCAGUCACACUGGAACUGAGACACGGUCCAGACUCCUACGGGAGGCAGCAGUGGGGAAUAUUGGAC